RNAcentral lists this small RNA (201 nucleotides) under Aneurinibacillus migulanus. RNAcentral's name for it is "SR1 sRNA". It matches the Rfam family "SR1 sRNA". The record is from Rfam by way of RNAcentral. Lineage: Bacteria; Bacillati; Bacillota; Bacilli; Caryophanales; Paenibacillaceae.
AAUGAACAUCCUUAAAUGACAUGGACAUAUUGAAUGGAGGGACUAUUUAUGGGAACUAUCGUAUGUCAGCAUUGCGAUCAAAUCAUUGAGCAUUAUGAGCAUGAAAAAGUGGAAGUGCUCUAUGCAUCUUCCUGUGGCUGUCCGUCUUGUGAAGAAGAUAAAUAAAAUGAACCCCCUGCCUCUUUUGCAGGGGGUUCAUUU